AGCGUAGACGGAGUGGCAAGUCUGAUGUGAAAACCCGGGGCUCAACCCCGGGACUGCAUUGGAAACUGUCAAUCUAGAGUACCGGAGAGGUAAGCGGAAUUCCUAGUGUAGCGGUGAAAUGCGUAGAUAUUAGGAGGAACACCAGUGGCGAAGGCGGCUAUCUGGACCGGUACUGACGCUGAGGUGCGAAAGCGUGGGGAGCAAACA
This 207-nucleotide ribosomal RNA is filed under the name uncultured bacterium. RNAcentral's name for it is "partial 16S ribosomal RNA". It matches the Rfam family "Bacterial small subunit ribosomal RNA", at positions 568 to 774 of the family's 1533-position model. The record is from RNAcentral.